UACGAGGGGGGCGAGCGUUGUUCGGAAUUAUUGGGCGUAAAGGGUGCGUAGGCGGUUUGGUAAGUCUUAUGUGAAAUCUACAGGCUCAACUUGUAGUCUGCAUGAGAAACUGCCGGGCUUGAGUGUGGGAGAGGUGAGUGGAAUUCCUGGUGUAGCGGUGAAAUGCGUAGAUAUCUGGAGGAACACCGGUGGCGAAGGCGACAUCCUGGACCGGUAUUGACGCUGAGGCGCGAAAGCCAGGGGAGCAAACGGG
This 253-nucleotide ribosomal RNA is filed under the name uncultured bacterium. RNAcentral's name for it is "partial 16S ribosomal RNA". It matches the Rfam family "Bacterial small subunit ribosomal RNA", at positions 524 to 776 of the family's 1533-position model. The record is from RNAcentral.